AACGAACGCUGGCGGCAGGCCUAACACAUGCAAGUCGAACGCCCGUAGCAAUACGGGAGUGGCAGACGGGUGAGUAACGCGUGGGAACGUGCCCUUCGGUUCGGAAUAACUCAGGGAAACUUGAGCUAAUACCGGAUACGUCCGUAAGGAGAAAGAUUUAUCGCCGAAGGAUCGGCCCGCGUCGGAUUAGCUAGUUGGUGAGGUAACGGCCCACCAAGGCGACGAUCCGUAGCUGGUCUGAGAGGAUGAUCAGCCACACUGGGACGUGAGACACGGCCCAGACUCCUACGGGAGGCAGCAGUGGGGAAUAUUGGACAAUGGGCGAAAGCCUGAUCCAGCCAUGCCGCGUGAGUGAAGAAGGCCUUAGGGUUGUAAAGCUCUUUCAGCGGGGAAGAUAAUGACGGUA
This 406-nucleotide ribosomal RNA is filed under the name uncultured bacterium. RNAcentral's name for it is "bacterial SSU rRNA". It matches the Rfam family "Bacterial small subunit ribosomal RNA", at positions 29 to 477 of the family's 1533-position model. The record is from RNAcentral.